This 253-nucleotide unclassified non-coding RNA is filed under the name uncultured bacterium. RNAcentral's name for it is "contains 16S-23S intergenic spacer region". It matches the Rfam family "Bacterial small subunit ribosomal RNA", at positions 524 to 776 of the family's 1533-position model. The record is from RNAcentral.
UACAGAGGGUGCGAGCGUUAAUCGGAAUUACUGGGCGUAAAGCGUGCGUAGGCGGUUUGUUAAGUCGGAUGUGAAAUCCCCGAGCUUAACUUGGGAAUUGCAUUCGAUACUGGGAAGCUAGAGUAUGGGAGAGGAUGGUAGAAUUCCAGGUGUAGCGGUGAAAUGCGUAGAGAUCUGGAGGAAUACCGAUGGCGAAGGCAGCCAUCUGGCCUAAUACUGACGCUGAGGUACGGGGACAUGGGGAGCAAGCAGA